Long non-coding RNA from Fundulus heteroclitus (mummichog), 254 nucleotides. RefSeq lists it as uncharacterized. The transcript is spliced from 2 exons. Lineage: Eukaryota; Metazoa; Chordata; Actinopteri; Cyprinodontiformes; Fundulidae. The record is from RefSeq and is a predicted model, not a curated record.
GCUUUACACAACAGCCAUACGUGAAGCAAAUCAAAAUAAAGAAACACUCACCUUCACACUGAGUUUAAGAGACUCUAAAAUUGAAAGGAACCGGAAAAUCAUCACAUUCUACAAAACACCCAGGGUGGAGUGGACCAGGCCUCUACAAUGCCAUCUGAUCGGUGAUCCUGCAGUUGGAGAAGGUGUCAACAGACAUGUUCUGUCCCUGACUAUGUCAAGCCUUCAAUGUGGAUUUGAACUUGAUGAAGAAACAG